This 376-nucleotide ribosomal RNA is filed under the name uncultured Glomeromycotina. Its description in RNAcentral is "SSU rRNA". It matches the Rfam family "Eukaryotic small subunit ribosomal RNA", at positions 569 to 952 of the family's 1831-position model. The record is from RNAcentral. Lineage: Eukaryota; Fungi; Glomeromycota.
AGCAGCCGCGGUAAUUCCAGCUCCAAUAGCGUAUAUUAAAGUUGCUGCAGUUAAAAAGCUCGUAGUUGAAUUUCGGGACCAUCAUGUCGGUCGUGCCUCGGUACGUACUGGCAUCGUUGGUUUCUCCCUUCUGACGAACCAUGAUGUCAUUAAUUUGGUGUCAUGGGGAAUCAGGACUGUUAACUUUGAAAAAUUGAGUGUUUAAAGCAGGCUCACGCUUGAAUACAUUAGCAUGGAAUAAUGAAAUAGGACGUUUGAUUCUAUUUUGUUGGUUUCUAGGAUCGACGUAAUGAUUAAUAGGGAUAGUUGGGGCAUUAGUAUUCAAUUGUCAGAGGUGAAAUUCUUGGAUUUAUUGAAGACUAACUACUGCGAAAGC